RNAcentral lists this ribosomal RNA (931 nucleotides) under Terschellingia longicaudata. Its description in RNAcentral is "SSU rRNA". It matches the Rfam family "Eukaryotic small subunit ribosomal RNA", at positions 88 to 1020 of the family's 1831-position model. Lineage: Eukaryota; Metazoa; Nematoda; Chromadorea; Monhysterida; Linhomoeidae. The record is from RNAcentral.
CGCGAAUAGCUCAUUACAACAGCCGUUGUUUCUUGGAUCUCAUCCUUACUUGGAUAACUGUCGAAAUGCGAGAGCUAAUACAUGCAAGAAGCCCUGACCUUUUGGGAUGGGUGCACUUAUUAGAGCAAAACCAAUCAGCCUCGGCUGUCACAUUGGUGAAUCUGAAUAACUGAGCGGAUUGCACUGGUCCUAGUACCGGCGACAUAUCCUUCAAGUGUCUGCCUUAUCAACUUUCGAUGGUAGUUUAUAUGCCUACCAUGGUUGUAACGGGUAACGGAAAAUCAGGGUUUGAUUCCGGAGAGGGCGCCCGAGAAAUGGCGACCACUUCUAAGGAAGGCAGCAGGCGCGUAACUUACCCACUCUCAGAUUGAGGAGGUAGUGACGAAAAAUAUCGAGCUGGUAGUCUUUCGAUUAUCAGCAUCGGAAUGAGAACAAUAUAAAUAUGUUAUCGAGUAACUAGCAGAGGGCAAGUCUGGUGCCAGCAGCCGCGGUAAUUGCAGCUCUGCAAGUGUAUAUCAAUGUUGCUGCGGUUAAAAAGCUCGUAGUUGGAUCUGUGUGACCAGGGUCUGGUCCAGCCAUGUGCUGCGUACUGGUACCCGUCACUUACCACUGCUGGUCUUGUCCCAAUGCCCUUCACUGGGUGUUGGCGACUGGCUAGCGAGUUUACUUUGAAAAAAUUAGAGUGCUCAACACAGGCGCAAUGCCUGAAUACUUCCGCAUGGAAUAAUGGAAGAGGACCUCGGUUCUGUUUUGUUGGUUUUAAGAGCAUGAGGUAAUGAUUAAGAGGAACAGACGGGGGCAUUCGUAUUCCGGCGUUAGAGGCGAAAUUCUUGGAUCGUCGGAAGACGAACAACUGCGAAGGCAUUUGCCAAGAAUGUUCUCAUUAAUCAAGAACGAAAGUUAGAGGUUCGAAGGCGAUCAGAUACCGCCC